CUGCUAAGCAGAAUACAGCACCUGCAAAGGCGAUGAGGAAGAAAACAAGCUUGGGAUGUGUAGGGACAUCAGUGCAACUGGUGCACAGUAAACAAGAAAUGACUUGCAGGAAAUGAAGGUGGAGGAAUAGGCAGUCCUGGUGAGAAUGAGAAGUUCAAUGUUUAUGGAACAAUUUGUAGUUUAGCCAGCCUGCUUGUCCAUGAUCAGGCAAACAAGUAAAACAUUCUCUACAGAUGGGAACCACAAUCGAACCAAUAUCAAAUUCACUUAAAACUUCUAGGUAUUCUUUUAUUGCCUCUCUUCUCCCUCAUACUUCAUUUUGCUUUUAACCAUGUUUAAAUGAGGAAAUGCUUGCAAAAAGAUGCUGCAAACGGUACAAUAGAGCUCUGUCAUUCUCUUUGAAUGUCAUUCCUUUUAAUGGAGGCAGUAGAAAAGUGCUUGCUAGCUGGUUCUGGCAACUUUUGCCAACCUGUAAGUUU
RNAcentral lists this long non-coding RNA (479 nucleotides) under Pan troglodytes (chimpanzee). RNAcentral describes it as "long non-coding RNA NONPTRT016813". The record is from RNAcentral. Lineage: Eukaryota; Metazoa; Chordata; Mammalia; Primates; Hominidae.